GGACUACAAGGGUAUCUAAUCCUGUUUGCUCCCCUUGCUCUCGCGCCUCAGCGUCAGGUAUAAGCUAGAAAGCCGCUUUCGCCACCGGUGUUCUUCCACAUAUCUACGCAUUUCACCGCUACACGUGGAAUUCCGCUUUCUCCGCCACUCCUCUAAGAGAUAUAGUUUCAAAUGCAGCUCCAAAGUUGAGCUUUGGAAUUUCACAUCUGACUUAUAUCCCCGCCUACGCGCCCUUUACGCCCAAUAAUUCCGAUUAAUGCUUGCACCCUACGUAUUACCGCGGCUGCUGGCAC
Molecule: ribosomal RNA, 293 nt
Filed under: uncultured bacterium
Lineage: Bacteria
Description: partial 16S ribosomal RNA
Source: RNAcentral